Ostrinia furnacalis (Asian corn borer) is the source of this 217-nucleotide long non-coding RNA. RefSeq lists it as uncharacterized. Lineage: Eukaryota; Metazoa; Arthropoda; Insecta; Lepidoptera; Crambidae. The transcript has 2 exons. The record is from RefSeq and is a predicted model, not a curated record.
GUGGUUAUUUUAUUUCAUUUUUAGAGCCGCCGUAUCAUUGGACUCAAGCAGUUGCCACGAGACUCGUUCCAGUGGCAGCUGACUUCAAAUUCACAUUUAGGAAGUCACUCAGUACUGACAGCUGUCCGAGCUCUCCAGCCCCGGUCAAACCGGCGCCCCUGCCUCCUCUUGGCUCUACGCCGAGGAGGCAAUCCCGGAGGAGGCUGAUUAUAAUAAC